GCCCCCGUAGCUCAGCGGACUAGAGCAUCGGUCUUCGGAACCGAGAGUCGUCCGUUCGAAUCGGACCGGGGGUA
This 74-nucleotide transfer RNA is filed under the name Anaerolineae bacterium. Its description in RNAcentral is "tRNA-Arg". It matches the Rfam family "tRNA". Rfam says of the family: Transfer RNA (tRNA) molecules are approximately 80 nucleotides in length. Their secondary structure includes four short double-helical elements and three loops (D, anti-codon, and T loops). The record is from RNAcentral. RNAcentral also lists the same sequence under 1 other name. Lineage: Bacteria; Bacillati; Chloroflexota; Anaerolineae.